CACCAGUGUGCUGAGCAGUUCGCAGCAGCAGUUCUGUCUGACGAGGGCGUCGCGCGGCCGAGGUCCUGAGGUCUUGGGUCUUUAUAUCUGAUACAACUCUGCCCACCAUCUUCCACAAACCAUAUACUAGAGCAUCCUACCUUGCAGAGUGCCUGUAUCCUAUAAAGGACCAAGGUGCGAAGAUGCUGCAUGUGACAGAGCUUUUGGAUGUUGUGAAGAAAGCCCACAUCUUUCAUCUAUGCAGUCAAGAUGAGAAUCCAGAAACUAGUCCCACAAGAAACCCGGGAGUUCUGGACAACUCUCAUCAACAGUUUAAGCAUUUUCAGUAUUUGUCACUGACUGGGCCUCACCAAGCUGUGAGCCAGAUCCAGGUGCUUUGCCGACGGUGGCUGCAGCCAGAGACCCACACAAAGGAACAGAUAAUAGAGCGACUAGUGCUGGAGCAGUUUCUGAGUACCCUGCCAGAGGAGAUUCAGAAAUGGGUGAGGUCAAAGCAGCCGGAGAACAGCAGCGAGGCAGGCAUGCUGGUGGCAAACUUGAUUCAGGCAUGUGAGGAUCCAGGUGAGACAGCUUCCCCUGCUCAGGACUCCAUCCUCGCAGAAAAUAAGAACACCAAAAGAAGAAUACAGAGGCAUUAGACAAACCACCCUCUGCUGGG
This is a non-coding RNA of Heterocephalus glaber (naked mole-rat), 658 nucleotides long. The record is from RefSeq and is a predicted model, not a curated record. Lineage: Eukaryota; Metazoa; Chordata; Mammalia; Rodentia; Bathyergidae.